Molecule: ribosomal RNA, 253 nt
Filed under: uncultured bacterium
Lineage: Bacteria
Description: partial 16S ribosomal RNA
Rfam family: Bacterial small subunit ribosomal RNA
Source: RNAcentral
UACGGGGGGGGCAAGCGUUGUUCGGAAUUACUGGGCGUAAAGGGUGCGUAGGCGGGUCUUUAAGUCAGGGGUGAAAUCCUGGAGCUCAACUCCAGAACUGCCUUUGAUACUGAAGAUCUUGAGUUCGGGAGAGGUGAGUGGAACUGCGAGUGUAGAGGUGAAAUUCGUAGAUAUUCGCAAGGACACCAGUGGCGAAGGCGGCUCACUGGCCCGAUACUGACGCUGAGGCACGAAAGCGUGGGGAGCAAACAGG